CUACGGGCCGCUGCAGUGGGGAAUAUUGGACAAUGGGGGAAACCCUGAUCCAGCGAUGCCGCGUAUGUGAAGAAGGCCUGAGGGUUGUAAAGCAUUUUUGAUGGGGAAGAAGGGCUUAAGUCGAAUAAACUUAAGACUUGACGGUACCCAUAGAAUAAGUACCGGCAAACUCUGUGCCAGCAGCCGCGGUAAUACAGAGGGUACGAGCGUUAAUCGGAAUGACUGGGCGUAAAAGGCGUGUAGGCGGAUAUUCAAGUGAGAUGUGAAAUACUCGGGCUCAACCUGGGGGCGGCAUCUCAGACUGGAUAUCUAGAGAACAGUAGAGGGUAGUGGAAUUUCCGGUGUAGCGGUGAAAUGCGUAGAUAUCGGAAGGAACACCAGUGGCGAAGGCGGCUACCUGGACUGUGACUGACGCUGAGGCGCGAAAGCGUGGGGAGCGAACAGGAUUAGAUACCCUUGUAGUC
This 464-nucleotide ribosomal RNA is filed under the name uncultured bacterium. RNAcentral describes it as "partial 16S ribosomal RNA". It matches the Rfam family "Bacterial small subunit ribosomal RNA", at positions 339 to 795 of the family's 1533-position model. The record is from RNAcentral.